UGCAGUCGACGAGAAGCACUUCGGUGUGAGUACAGUGGCGCACGGGUGAGUAACGCGUAGAUGAUGUGCCUUUUAGUGGGGGACAACCUCGUGAAAACGGGGCUAAUACCGCAUAAGCUGGAGGAAAUUGAAAAACUUCAGGAAAGGGGGCCUUUGGCUCUCGCUAAGAGAUCGGUCUGCGUGACAUUAGCUUGUUGGUGGGGUAAUGGCCUACCAAGGCGACGAUGUCUAGCUGGUCUGAGAGGAUGAUCAGUCACACUGGAACUGAGACACGGUCCAGACUCCUACGGGAGGCAGCAGUAGGGAAUAUUGCGCAAUGGGGGAAACCCUGACGCAGCAAUGCCACGUGAGUGAGGAAUGCCUUCGGGUUGUAAAGCUCUGUCCUAUAGGAAGAAUGGUUAAUUGGUUAAUACCCUUUUAAUUUGACGGUACUAUAGAAGAAAGCACCGGCUAACUCCGUGCCAGCAGCCGCGGUAAUACGGAGGGUGCAAGCGUUGUUCGGAUUUACUGGGCGUAAAGCGCGCGCAGGCGGA
RNAcentral lists this ribosomal RNA (533 nucleotides) under uncultured Bdellovibrio sp. RNAcentral's name for it is "bacterial SSU rRNA". It matches the Rfam family "Bacterial small subunit ribosomal RNA", at positions 56 to 579 of the family's 1533-position model. Lineage: Bacteria; Pseudomonadati; Bdellovibrionota; Bdellovibrionia; Bdellovibrionales; Pseudobdellovibrionaceae. The record is from RNAcentral.